UACGGAGGGUGCGAGCGUUGUCCGGAAUCACUGGGCGUAAAGGGCGCGUAGGCGGCGCGGAAAGUCGUCGGUGAAAGCUCGGGGCUCAACCCUGAGUCUGCCGGUGAUACUCCCGCGCUCGAGCUCACUAGAGGCAGAUGGAAUUCCGGGUGUAGCGGUGGAAUGCGUAGAGAUCCGGAAGAACACCGGUGGCGAAGGCGGUCUGCUGGGGUGAGGCUGACGCUGAUGCGCGACAGCGUGGGGAGCAAACAGG
This 253-nucleotide ribosomal RNA is filed under the name uncultured bacterium. RNAcentral's name for it is "partial 16S ribosomal RNA". It matches the Rfam family "Bacterial small subunit ribosomal RNA", at positions 524 to 776 of the family's 1533-position model. The record is from RNAcentral.